Molecule: ribosomal RNA, 526 nt
Filed under: uncultured bacterium
Lineage: Bacteria
Description: bacterial SSU rRNA
Rfam family: Bacterial small subunit ribosomal RNA
Source: RNAcentral
UAGAGUUUGAUCCUGGCUCAGGAUGAACGCUAGCGGCAGGCUUAAUACAUGCAAGUCGAGGGGCAGCAUGACUGUAGCAAUACAGUUGAUGGCGACCGGCAAACGGGUGCGGAACACGUACAGAACCUUCCUUCGAGCGGGGGAUAGCCCAGAGAAAUUUGGAUUAAUACCCCAUAGUAUAUCGGAGUGGCAUCACUUUGAUAUUAAAGAUUUAUCACUUGAAGAUGGCUGUGCGGCUGAUUAGGUAGUUGGCGGGGUAACGGCCCACCAAGCCUGCGAUCAGUAACUGGUGUGAGAGCACGACCAGUCACACGGGCACUGAGACACGGGCCCGACUCCUACGGGAGGCAGCAGUAAGGAAUAUUGGUCAAUGGACGAAAGUCUGAACCAGCCAUGCCGCGUGGAGGAUGAAGGUCCUCUGGAUUGUAAACUUCUUUUAUAUGGGACGAAAAAAGGCUUUUCUAAGUCGUCUGACGGUACCAUAUGGAUAAGCACCGGCUAACUCCGUGCCAGCAGCCCCGGUCAA